CAAUAGCGUAUAUUAAAGUUGUUGCGGUUAAAAAGCUCGUAGUUGGAUUUCUGCCGAGGACGACCGGUCCGCCCUCUGGGUGAGUAUCUGGUUCGGCCUGGGCAUCUUCUUGGAGAACGUAUCUGCACUUGACUGUGUGGUGCGGUAUCCAGGACUUUUACUUUGAGGAAAUUAGAGUGUUUCAAGCAGGCACACGCCUUGAAUACAUUAGCAUGGAAUAAUAAGAUAGGACCUUGGUUCUAUUUUGUUGGUUUCUAGAGCUGAGGUAAUGAUUAAUAGGGAUAGUUGGGGGUGCUCGUAUUGCUGGGCCAGAGGUGAAAUUCUCGGAUUCUAGUAAGACGAACUUUUGCGAAAGCAUUCACCAAGGAUGUCUUCUUUAAUCAAGAACGAAAGUUGGGGGAUCGAAGACGAUUAGAUACCAU
RNAcentral lists this ribosomal RNA (422 nucleotides) under uncultured eukaryote. RNAcentral describes it as "bacterial SSU rRNA". It matches the Rfam family "Eukaryotic small subunit ribosomal RNA", at positions 592 to 1018 of the family's 1831-position model. The record is from RNAcentral.